UGAGCAGGCCAGGUGGUCGCUGGCUUUCCGGCUCUGAUGCCGGGGGGCGAGAGGAAAGUCCGGGCUCCGCAGGGCAGGGUGCUGGGUAACACCCAGUCCCGGUGACGGGAAGGAAAGUGCCACAGAAAAGAGACCGCCCCGCACCCAUUUUUGGAGCUGUUGAGGUUCCUGUAACGUAUUGGUUGUACUCCAACGUUCAAACAGAAGUGUGGAAGCAGUUCUUAAAAUGGGUGCGGGGUAAGGGUGAAACGGUGAGGUAAGAGCUCACCAGUCCUGCUGGUGACAGCAGGAGCUAGGCAAACCCCACCCGGAGCAAGACCAAAUAGGAGGACGUCUGAGGAUGGCCCGUCCGAGUCCUCGGGUAGGUCGCUUGAGGUUGCGGGUAACCGUAACCCUAGAUAAAUGACCAUCACCCCGCACCCAUUUUAGAAUUGCUGGGGUUUCCGUAACGUAUUGGUUGUACUGCAACGUUCGAACAGAAGUCUGGAAGCAGUUCUUAAAAUGGGUGCGGGGAACAGAACCCGGCUUAUGGCCUGCUCAGCUU
RNAcentral lists this RNase P RNA (544 nucleotides) under Deltaproteobacteria bacterium. RNAcentral's name for it is "RNase P RNA component class A". It matches the Rfam family "Bacterial RNase P class A". From Rfam's summary of the family: Ribonuclease P (RNase P) is a ubiquitous endoribonuclease, found in archaea, bacteria and eukarya as well as chloroplasts and mitochondria. Its best characterised activity is the generation of mature 5'-ends of tRNAs by cleaving the 5'-leader elements of precursor-tRNAs. Cellular RNase Ps are ribonucleoproteins. The record is from RNAcentral. Lineage: Bacteria; Pseudomonadati; Myxococcota; Myxococcia.